GGGGGAGGACAGGGGUAAGGGAGACAGGGAGAAAGGGGUAGGAGAAAGGAGAAAGGGGGUGGGGAAAAGGAGAAAGGGGGUAGGAGAAAGGAGAGGAAGGCUGGGAAAAAGGAGAAAAAGUUGGAGAAAGGAGAAAAAAUAAAAUAUCUCUCCUUUUAAAUUUUUUUCUAAUAUUUCAAGAAAAAAUAUCUCAAAAGGAGAUGUUUUAUUCUAAUGGGAGAAAGGAUAACAGGGAUAGGAGAAAGGAGAAGACGGGUGGGAGAAGGGAGAAGGGUACCCUCUGUCCUCCCCCUCAUAUAUAGAAU
Molecule: long non-coding RNA, 305 nt
Filed under: Mytilus galloprovincialis (Mediterranean mussel)
Lineage: Eukaryota; Metazoa; Mollusca; Bivalvia; Mytilida; Mytilidae
Source: RNAcentral